GAUGAACGCUGGCGGCGUGCCUAAUACAUGCAAGUAGAACGCUGAAGGAGGAGCUUGCUCUUCUGGAUGAGUUGCGAACGGGUGAGUAACGCGUAGGUAACCUGCCUGGUAGCGGGGGAUAACUAUUGGAAACGAUAGCUAAUACCGCAUGACAACAGUUAUUGCAUGAUAACUGUUUAAAAGGGGCAACUGCUCCACUACCAGAUGGACCUGCGUUGUAUUAGCUAGUUGGUGAGGUAACGGCUCACCAAGGCGACGAUACAUAGCCGACCUGAGAGGGGGGUCGGCCACACUGGGACUGAGACACGGCCCAGACUCCUACGGGAGGCAGCAGUAGGGAAUCUUCGGCAAUGGACGGAAGUCUGACCGAGCAACGCCGCGGGAGUGAAGAAGGUUUUCGGAUCGUAAAGCUCUGUUGUAAGAGAAGAACGAGUGUGAGAGUGGAAAGUUCACACUGUGACGGUAUCUUACCAGAAAGGGACGGCUAACUACGUG
Molecule: ribosomal RNA, 495 nt
Filed under: uncultured bacterium
Lineage: Bacteria
Description: partial 16S ribosomal RNA
Rfam family: Bacterial small subunit ribosomal RNA
Source: RNAcentral